GUAACUCUCUCUCCUUUUUCCCCCGAGCUCUCUCUUCCCUUCGGCCUCCCUUCGAUUUUCCAGUCGAUCUCCUCCUUCCGACCACCCAACAACGAACUCCGGAUGUGGGGCGACGCUCCUCCUCCUUCUUUUCACGUUUUGGGUUGUGAGUCACCGUGAUUUGGCCGGAGGAGAACAAAUCGAAGCCCAGAAGUCACUGCUGCAGAUUUUCCUCUUCGCCGAUUUCUUUCAAUUUCGACUACCUUCGGCCACAAAACCGGUCAUUCUAGAAUACCCACUCCUCAUAGAUGAGUUCCUUCGAGUUUCACGAUCCAAUUUGAGGUGUGGGAGGAGAAUCGAAGAUUUGAAGUAUCUGUCACUGUUCAUCUCGGUGUUCUUCAGAAUUUUGCUCCGAUUCCGGCAAUUCCAGGACGAGAGGAGUCUUCAUACGAGGAGGAUACCGAGCGACGUCAGGAUUGACCAUAUACUUUUACAGUAUUGCUGCUCGGCGUUCAGGAGUGAGCCAUAGUGACCGCAUCCGCUUCCGUCAUCACAUUUCGUAGGUUACCUGUUUAACCUACUGUACUCUAUGUUAAUUUACGUUCCUAGAUUUGCUCUGAUUACUAUGAGAUUUGUGACCCAGACUUGUAAUGAAUUAUAUUUGAGGUCUACGACCUAACUUUGUGAAUUGUAGUAUCCUAGAUCUUGGAGUUUCUUAGA
This is a long non-coding RNA of Rosa rugosa (rugosa rose), 699 nucleotides long. RefSeq lists it as uncharacterized. The record is from RefSeq and is a predicted model, not a curated record. NCBI's taxonomy places the organism in Eukaryota, Viridiplantae, Streptophyta, Magnoliopsida, Rosales, Rosaceae. The transcript has 3 exons.